GAUGAACGCUGGCGGCGUGCCUAACACAUGCAAGUCGAGCGAUUCUCUUCGGAGAAGAGCGGCGGACGGGUGAGUAACGCGUGGGUAACCUGCCCUGUACACACGGAUAACAUACCGAAAGGUAUGCUAAUACGGGAUAAUAUGCUAUAGGCGCAUGGCUGAAGUAUCAAAGCUCCGGCGGUACAGGAUGGACCCGCGUCUGAUUAGCUAGUUGGUAAGGUAACGGCUUACCAAGGCGACGAUCAGUAGCCGACCUGAGAGGGUGAUCGGCCACAUUGGAACUGAGACACGGUCCAAACUCCUACGGGAGGCAGCAGUGGGGAAUAUUGCACAAUGGGCGAAAGCCUGAUGCAGCAACGCCGCGUGAGCGAUGAAGGCCUUCGGGUCGUAAAGCUCUGUCCUCAAGGAAGAUAAUGACGGUACUUGAGGAGGAAGCCCCGGCUAACUACGUGCCAGCCGCCGCAGUAA
Molecule: ribosomal RNA, 468 nt
Filed under: uncultured bacterium
Lineage: Bacteria
Description: partial 16S ribosomal RNA
Rfam family: Bacterial small subunit ribosomal RNA
Source: RNAcentral